Long non-coding RNA from Hippocampus comes (tiger tail seahorse), 837 nucleotides. RefSeq lists it as uncharacterized. The record is from RefSeq and is a predicted model, not a curated record. Lineage: Eukaryota; Metazoa; Chordata; Actinopteri; Syngnathiformes; Syngnathidae. The transcript is spliced from 3 exons.
AGGUCCACCAGGAUCAUGCCGCAGAAGUAGUAGAUGGGCGUAUGUGGAUUGUGGAUUACUGGAUUGGAACAUUAGCAACUAGCAACGAUCGAGAAAAGGAAACAACUAACACUUGAGGAUUAUUUUUUUCGGUAUAAAAGCGUCCUCGAAACAAAACAACAAAGGAGAUGGUGUUUGUGUGGAAGAGAAGAUGACGCUUCGGUCACGUAAUCGAAAGCAGCACCCGUCAAACGACGGCCUGCGCAAACAUCGCGUGCUACACGCGGCCCGCAUAGCUCACGCCGAGUUUCGAGUUCAUCUGAUGAAGAUGAACAUGCUCCACGUCCCAGACCAAAGCUUGGCAGAGCAUUUUGUGCCAGCGAUGACGGCAAAGAGGCUGCAUGUGGCCGACGCCGGGCACACGUCAGCGAUUCACCGGAAUCGUCUCGUAAUGGCGACGGCGAAGAUGAUGAAUUGUAGAGCGAUUUGGAUCCGGAUCUGUCGGACGAAUAAGUGCCUUCGGACAUAACGGAAAGCAGCUGAGAGUCCUCGCCAGAGCCGCUGGAACGAGGAGAUUGUCCAACCAGAAGCCAAAAGAUGACGACUCCUUGCUUUGGUGGUGGAAAGAAAGGUCGUGCAUCUGGACGUGGUGGGGAUGAAUCGAUGUGGCGACAAACUGGAUGGAAGCCAUAAACCAUCCUCUUCACAGCUGCACUUUCGUUCAUUCAAUUUGCAUGUUUGUUCAUAGUUCAAUAGUUUUGUUUUGUGCAAAUAAAUUAUUUUGCGAUAAAUACAUUUUUUGUAAUGUUGUUUUGUCGGAGGAACACCUUAUUGAGGUAUUUGAGCUGUCACAAAAGC